Neodiprion virginianus is the source of this 813-nucleotide long non-coding RNA. RefSeq lists it as uncharacterized. Lineage: Eukaryota; Metazoa; Arthropoda; Insecta; Hymenoptera; Diprionidae. The transcript has 3 exons. The record is from RefSeq and is a predicted model, not a curated record.
AUAGUCUGUCGUGCCGCCAGCUCAUCUUCGCUACCACCUGAAGAGAAGACGAUACGAUAUUUGCCACGAAUGCUAGAAUUCUAGAAAGGUCGUGGAAUCUUUUGGUGAAGGAAAAAUCGUGUUUUGGUCAGUUGCAGAUCUUUAAACGCACGCACGUUUGGAUGAUACUUCGUGUCAUAGGCGAGCCUGUCGAUGACGUUUUGCGAAAGAGACUCCUUCGCCGUCCGGACCUCUCGCCCCCUCGCCGACGUUUUCGUUCGUCUUCCGUUUUUCUUCGAGACCCCAUCGACCUUUCCACAGUCCACGACGCUCUUCGCCAGCAGGACUCUGCGAAGGUUUCAAGUUGUGAUGCACAUGCUUAUGUGUACAAUAUUGUCGCCAAGCAACGCGAGUGGACGGCCGCCGAUCAAUAUUCCCUCGGAUGACGGGUUUUUUAAACAUGAUGAUCUUUGAAGGAACAGGAAUGGGCGAUGAAUGACAAUAAAAGCGAGGCAAUCAUCGUGUAAAUUAAUAAAGCUAAUUUUAUUAGAACAUCAUCAUCGAAGUGUUAGUCAAAUAAAUAAAUUACAUCAACUUUAUGCUAGAUGCCUGAUCCAUACGUUUUCAAAUCGUCGAGCAGGAAGUUGUCACUGGUAAUUCCGGUUUCUAUACUACACAGUGUUCGAAUAUGUGUAUAUUCGUAGUAUAUUUAUAGAAAAUUUAUGGAUAUGCUGUAUUUCUUCAAGUUCGUUGAUCGUAUGUGUAUACAAUAAUCCUACUACUGGAAUUUUACGUAAUAAUAUUGUCUGAUCGAUAUUUUGUAUCAGCAGCGCA